RNAcentral lists this long non-coding RNA (297 nucleotides) under Glycine max (soybean). Its description in RNAcentral is "long non-coding RNA (GMAX_LNC002121)". Lineage: Eukaryota; Viridiplantae; Streptophyta; Magnoliopsida; Fabales; Fabaceae. The record is from RNAcentral.
AUAGUAAAGGCUAUUUCUUUGCUACAUUGUCACUUGGGGAGCUUGGAUCGAAAUUGAAGAUCACUGAGUGCAAGGCAUACUUGGAGAGUUCUCCAUUGGAGACAUGUAAAGUUCCCACCGAUGUCAACUACGGGAUCAGUGGUGCUCGUCUUUCUUCUUAUCGCCUCCUUGAGAAUAAGAUGAAGUUGUACACUGUGGGACCUUUCUUCUGCACCUCCCAACCUGCUAAACCACUCCCUAACGGUUAUUAAUUAAUGAAGCCACCUUCUAUAUGACGUCCGUUGAAAUGGCUGCAAA